Molecule: ribosomal RNA, 1363 nt
Filed under: Salmonella enterica
Lineage: Bacteria; Pseudomonadati; Pseudomonadota; Gammaproteobacteria; Enterobacterales; Enterobacteriaceae
Also listed under: 1 other name
Description: partial 23S ribosomal RNA
Rfam family: Bacterial large subunit ribosomal RNA
Source: RNAcentral
AGCAACAAAUGCCCUGCUUCCAGGAAAAGCCUCUAAGCAUCAGGUAACAUCAAAUCGUACCCCAAACCGACACAGGUGGUCAGGUAGAGAAUACCAAGGCGCUUGAGAGAACUCGGGUGAAGGAACUAGGCAAAAUGGUGCCGUAACUUCGGGAGAAGGCACGCUGACAUGUAGGUGAAGUGAUUUACUCAUGGAGCUGAAGUCAGUCGAAGAUACCAGCUGGCUGCAACUGUUUAUUAAAAACACAGCACUGUGCAAACACGAAAGUGGACGUAUACGGUGUGACGCCUGCCCGGUGCCGGAAGGUUAAUUGAUGGGGUCAGCGCAAGCGAAGCUCCUGAUCGAAGCCCCGGUAAACGGCGGCCGUAACUAUAACGGUCCUAAGGUAGCGAAAUUCCUUGUCGGGUAAGUUCCGACCUGCACGAAUGGCGUAAUGAUGGCCAGGCUGUCUCCACCCGAGACUCAGUGAAAUUGAACUCGCUGUGAAGAUGCAGUGUACCCGCGGCAAGACGGAAAGACCCCGUGAACCUUUACUAUAGCUUGACACUGAACAUUGAGCCUUGAUGUGUAGGAUAGGUGGGAGGCUUUGAAGUGUGGACGCCAGUCUGCAUGGAGCCGACCUUGAAAUACCACCCUUUAAUGUUUGAUGUUCUAACGUGGACCCGUAAUCCGGGUUGCGGACAGUGUCUGGUGGGUAGUUUGACUGGGGCGGUCUCCUCCUAAAGAGUAACGGAGGAGCACGAAGGUUGGCUAAUCCUGGUCGGACAUCAGGAGGUUAGUGCAAUGGCAUAAGCCAGCUUGACUGCGAGCGUGACGGCGCGAGCAGGUGCGAAAGCAGGUCAUAGUGAUCCGGUGGUUCUGAAUGGAAGGGCCAUCGCUCAACGGAUAAAAGGUACUCCGGGGAUAACAGGCUGAUACCGCCCAAGAGUUCAUAUCGACGGCGGUGUUUGGCACCUCGAUGUCGGCUCAUCACAUCCUGGGGCUGAAGUAGGUCCCAAGGGUAUGGCUGUUCGCCAUUUAAAGUGGUACGCGAGCUGGGUUUAGAACGUCGUGAGACAGUUCGGUCCCUAUCUGCCGUGGGCGCUGGAGAACUGAGGGGGGCUGCUCCUAGUACGAGAGGACCGGAGUGGACGCAUCACUGGUGUUCGGGUUGUCAUGCCAAUGGCACUGCCCGGUAGCUAAAUGCGGAAGAGAUAAGUGCUGAAAGCAUCUAAGCACGAAACUUGCCCCGAGAUGAGUUCUCCCUGAGACUUUAGGUCUCCUGAAGGAACGUUGAAGACGACGACGUUGAUAGGCCGGGUGUGUAAGCGCAGCGAUGCGUUGAGCUAACCGGUACUAAUGAACCGUGAGGCUUAACCUUACA